AACGUGCCCCGAGGUAGAGGAUAGCCGUGGGAAACUGCGGGUAAUACUCUAUAAGUUCCAAGGAAGAAAGCUCCGGCGCCUUGGGAGCGGCGAUCGUCCUAUCAGGUUGUUGGUGGGGUAAAGGCCUACCAAGCCGAAGACGGGUAGCGGGUGUGAGAGCAUGGCCCGCCGCAUCGGAACUGAGACACUGUCCGGACUCCUACGGGAGGCUGCAGUAACGAAUCUUCCGCAAUGCGCGAAAGCGUGACGGAGCAAUGCCGCGUGUGGGAUGAAGCGGUUACGCCGUGUAAACCACUGUCAGGACUUAGGAAGAA
Molecule: ribosomal RNA, 314 nt
Filed under: Azadinium spinosum
Lineage: Eukaryota; Dinophyceae; Gonyaulacales; Amphidomataceae
Description: partial Bacterial small subunit ribosomal RNA
Rfam family: Bacterial small subunit ribosomal RNA
Source: RNAcentral